RNAcentral lists this ribosomal RNA (382 nucleotides) under uncultured eukaryote. RNAcentral describes it as "partial 18S ribosomal RNA". It matches the Rfam family "Eukaryotic small subunit ribosomal RNA", at positions 592 to 976 of the family's 1831-position model. The record is from RNAcentral.
CAAUAGCGUAUAUUAAAGUUGUUGCAGUUAAAAAGCUCGUAGUUGGAUUUCUGGUAGGAGUGACCGUUCCGAACUUGAUUGUUCGUGUAUUGUGUUUUCUCCAGCCAUCCUUGUGGAGAACUUUUCUUGCAUUAAUUUGUAGGGAUUGGGACCCGCAUCGUUUACUGUGAAAAAAUUAGAGUGUUCAAAGCGGGCUUACGCUUGAAUAUUUCAGCAUGGAAUAACACUAUAGGACUCCUGUCCUAUUUCGUUGGUCUCGGGACGGGAGUAAUGAUUAAGAGGAACAGUUGGGGGCAUUCGUAUUUCAUUGUCAGAGGUGAAAUUCUUGGAUUUAUGAAAGACGAACUUCUGCGAAAGCAUUUGCCAAGGAUGUUUUCAUUAA